AGUGAACGCUGGCGGUAGGCCUAACACAUGCAAGUCGAACGGCAGCACAGUAAGAGCUUGCUCUUACAGGUGGCGAGUGGCGGACGGGUGAGGAAUACAUCGGAAUCUACUUUUUCGUGGGGGAUAACGUAGGGAAACUUACGCUAAUACCGCAUACGACCUACGGGUGAAAGCAGGGGAUCUUCGGACCUUGCGCGAUUGAAUGAGCCGAUGUCGGAUUAGCUAGUUGGCGGGGUAAAGGCCCACCAAGGCGACGAUCCGUAGCUGGUCUGAGAGGAUGAUCAGCCACACUGGAACUGAGACACGGUCCAGACUCCUACGGGAGGCAGCAGUGGGGAAUAUUGGACAAUGGGCGCAAGCCUGAUCCAGCCAUACCGCGUGGGUGAAGAGGGCCUUCGGGUUGUAAAGCCCUUUUGUUGGGAAAGAAAAGCAGCAGGUUAAUACCCCGCUGUUCUGACGGUACCCAAAGAAUAAGCACCGGCUAACUUCGUG
This 492-nucleotide ribosomal RNA is filed under the name uncultured bacterium. RNAcentral describes it as "partial 16S ribosomal RNA". It matches the Rfam family "Bacterial small subunit ribosomal RNA", at positions 29 to 507 of the family's 1533-position model. The record is from RNAcentral.